UCUCCAGGCCUGUGAUGUGAGGGGCUGCUGUGAAGGUUUCUGACAUGCCCUGGAGACAUUUUCCCCAUUGUCUUGGCAGAGCCCAGAAAACACAUGCGUUUUGAAGAGAGGAGGAAGAGAAAUGAUCAGGCUUAUAGGGCUUAUAGUGUGUUGCUGCCACAGAGCAUAAAACUGGGGAAGCCCUGGGAACCACAGAAGAUGGAAGGAGGAAGAGAGGAAUGGUGGCAAGACUCUACCAGCUUCCCAGGCCAAGUCUGAUUUGAUAUAAAAAUGUCUGCUAGUAGUCUCAAUUGAUUCCUAUUUUUCUGUCAAUAACUUUGUAUUUAUGGAGUUUUGAAGUGAAUAC
RNAcentral lists this long non-coding RNA (346 nucleotides) under Homo sapiens (human). Its description in RNAcentral is "HSALNT0057538". Lineage: Eukaryota; Metazoa; Chordata; Mammalia; Primates; Hominidae. The record is from RNAcentral.